RNAcentral lists this ribosomal RNA (1542 nucleotides) under Escherichia coli O157:H7 str. EDL933. Its description in RNAcentral is "bacterial SSU rRNA". It matches the Rfam family "Bacterial small subunit ribosomal RNA". The record is from RNAcentral. Lineage: Bacteria; Pseudomonadati; Pseudomonadota; Gammaproteobacteria; Enterobacterales; Enterobacteriaceae.
AAAUUGAAGAGUUUGAUCAUGGCUCAGAUUGAACGCUGGCGGCAGGCCUAACACAUGCAAGUCGAACGGUAACAGGAAGAAGCUUGCUUCUUUGCUGACGAGUGGCGGACGGGUGAGUAAUGUCUGGGAAACUGCCUGAUGGAGGGGGAUAACUACUGGAAACGGUAGCUAAUACCGCAUAACGUCGCAAGACCAAAGANGGGGACCUUCGGGCCUCUUGCCAUCGGAUGUGCCCAGAUGGGAUUAGCUAGUAGGUGGGGUAACGGCUCACCUAGGCGACGAUCCCUAGCUGGUCUGAGAGGAUGACCAGCCACACUGGAACUGAGACACGGUCCAGACUCCUACGGGAGGCAGCAGUGGGGAAUAUUGCACAAUGGGCGCAAGCCUGAUGCAGCCAUGCCGCGUGUAUGAANAAGGCCUUCGGGUUGUAAAGUACUUUCAGCGGGGAGGAAGGGAGUAAAGUUAAUACCUUUGCUCAUUGACGUUACCCGCAGAANAAGCACCGGCUAACUCCGUGCCAGCAGCCGCGGUAAUNCGGAGGGUGCAAGCGUUAAUCGGAAUUACUGGGCGUAAAGCGCACGCAGGCGGUUUGUUAAGUCAGAUGUGAAAUCCCCGGGCUCAACCUGGGAACUGCAUCUGAUACUGGCAAGCUUGAGUCUCGUAGAGGGGGGUAGAAUUCCAGGUGUAGCGGUGAAAUGCGUAGAGAUCUGGAGGAAUACCGGUGGCGAAGGCGGCCCCCUGGACGAAGACUGACGCUCAGGUGCGAAAGCGUGGGGAGCAAACAGGAUUAGAUACCCUGGUAGUCCACGCCGUAAACGAUGUCGACUUGGAGGUUGUGCCCUUGAGGCGUGGCUUCCGGAGCUAACGCGUUAAGUCGACCGCCUGGGGAGUACGGCCGCAAGGUUAAAACUCAAAUGAAUUGACGGGGGCCCGCACAAGCGGUGGAGCAUGUGGUUUAAUUCGAUGCAACGCGAAGAACCUUACCUGGUCUUGACAUCCACAGAACUUUCCAGAGAUGGAUUGGUGCCUUCGGGAACUGUGAGACAGGUGCUGCAUGGCUGUCGUCAGCUCGUGUUGUGAAAUGUUGGGUUAAGUCCCGCAACGAGCGCAACCCUUAUCCUUUGUUGCCAGCGGUCCGGCCGGGAACUCAAAGGAGACUGCCAGUGAUAAACUGGAGGAAGGUGGGGAUGACGUCAAGUCAUCAUGGCCCUUACGACCAGGGCUACACACGUGCUACAAUGGCGCAUACAAAGAGAAGCGACCUCGCGAGAGCAAGCGGACCUCAUAAAGUGCGUCGUAGUCCGGAUUGGAGUCUGCAACUCGACUCCAUGAAGUCGGAAUCGCUAGUAAUCGUGGAUCAGAAUGCCACGGUGAAUACGUUCCCGGGCCUUGUACACACCGCCCGUCACACCAUGGGAGUGAGUUGCAAAAGAAGUAGGUAGCUUAACCUUCGGGAGGGCGCUUACCACUUUGUGAUUCAUGACUGGGGUGAAGUCGUAACAAGGUAACCGUAGGGGAACCUGCGGUUGGAUCACCUCCUUA